GACGAACGCUGGCGGCGUGCUUAACACAUGCAAGUCGAGCGAAAAGAGGGAAAGAGCUUGCUCUUUCCGGAAUUGAGUGGCAAACGGGUGAGUAACACGUAAACAACCUGCCUUCAGGAUGGGGACAACAGACGGAAACGACUGCUAAUACCGAAUAAGUUCCAAGGGCCGCAUGGCCCAUGGAAGAAAAGGUGGCCUCUACCUGUAAGCUAUCGCCUGAAGAGGGGUUUGCGUCUGAUUAGCUGGUUGGAGGGGUAACGGCCCACCAAGGCGACGAUCAGUAGCCGGUCUGAGAGGAUGAACGGCCACACUGGAACUGAGACACGGUCCAGACUCCUACGGGAGGCAGCAGUGGGGAAUCUUCCGCAAUGGGCGAAAGCCUGACGGAGCAACGCCGCGUGAGUGAUGACGGCCUUCGGGUUGUAAAACUCUGUGAUCCGGGACGAAAAGGCAGAGUGCGAAGAACAAACUGCAUUGACGGUACCGGAAAAGUAAGCCACGGCUAACUACGUG
Molecule: ribosomal RNA, 513 nt
Filed under: uncultured bacterium
Lineage: Bacteria
Description: partial 16S ribosomal RNA
Rfam family: Bacterial small subunit ribosomal RNA
Source: RNAcentral